Molecule: long non-coding RNA, 1291 nt
Organism: Triticum aestivum (bread wheat)
Lineage: Eukaryota; Viridiplantae; Streptophyta; Magnoliopsida; Poales; Poaceae
Exons: 2
Source: RefSeq, a predicted model, not a curated record
GCCUGGCUAAUCCAGCGCGUUGGAAAGCGACUCUCCUCACCGUCUGGAUUGAACCAGUCUCUGCCUUGUUCAGUAUUGUUUCUACAGUUUGCAGUAGCUUCAGACACAGUUUAACAGCACGAGUUGUUGCCUCGUGGAUCAAAUUCAGACCCGACGUUUCAGUAUGGUAGAUAGAGCUCCCUCCCGACCCCGUGCGGCCGCCGCCGGGCCGCACCGGGCGGCCACCACUCAACCUGCCCCCGACCCCCGCGCACCCCCCCUCCUUCCGCCGCCGCCGGCAACGUCGCUGGGCGAAGGCCCUGUGGCGCGACGGCGGCGGACCUCCUCUGGCCCGAGAUCUGAGGGGGCGACGGCCUUAUUUGGAUUUCCCUCCCGACGAGGAUGGCGGGCAGCGGCGGCCGGGGCGCGACGGGGGGCUUGGCUGCAGCCGUCGGGAUUAGUAGGAGAUGGCGGCAGUGGCGGCCGGGGCGCGUCCCGAGCUCGAUCUAGGACCUUCGGGGCUAGGCGGGCGGAUGCCGUUAACUGUUGCAUCUCGUCGGAUUCAGCAACGCCUGGCUGAAGCACUCCGGGUCGCAUCGCAUCACAAGGAUUAUGGCGGUGGUGGUCAUCUCCUACAUCAGAGGUGGUCGACCUGAGGCUGGGUGAUCGGAUCUCGAGAUCUGUAAUCUAGACCCGGCUGAGAGUCGCGGAGACAUAGUUGCUGGUGAAAACCGAGCCGAUGACGGGCGAUAGCGGCGUUCUGCGUCGUUACCUUGAUGAAGGCAUCAUCCUGUAACUAUUGUCAACCCACUCGUGCUGCUCCGGAGGACUACUGUCAACCCACUCGUGCUGCUCCGGAGGAAAACCUAGGAUCUUCGGUGGAGAUGUCCAUGACAUCAUUGUCAUGGACAGAUCGCUCUUGGAUGGAACUUUCCAGACGACUUAUCUUGGGCAAUCGGAUGAGUUCCCAUUACGCCAUAUACUCCUCCCUUGCUUGGAUUUUGGGCAUAAAAAUUAGAUGCUUACAAGUGCAAUGUGGACGUGGUAGGAGUACUCUCUCAGCGCAAAAUUGAGCAGGUCCCAGCUCCCAGCUGAGGAGUCUGAAGGGGGAAUCAAAUGCAAAAGGCUGAAGCCCAGCUGGGACCGGAGGCGGCAUAGGAACAAAAACGGCUACUGAAUCAUCAAGAGCAUGAAAAGAGAUGAUAGAAAAGUAGUUGCUGAUUAAAAGGUUUAGUGUCUUUGAAAUGCAUACUUGGCCGAGAAAAUUCACUGGACGAUAUUUAUUUUAUAAAGGGAGAAAAGAAAAAGACUU